This 231-nucleotide ribosomal RNA is filed under the name Triticum aestivum (bread wheat). Its description in RNAcentral is "partial small subunit ribosomal RNA". The record is from RNAcentral. Lineage: Eukaryota; Viridiplantae; Streptophyta; Magnoliopsida; Poales; Poaceae.
AUGCUCUCUUUGCACCGCCGCAUGUGCCUGUGCAUAUUCCGCAGACUCCCCCUCCUACAAGAGAUCUCCGCCACCGUCCCGAUUGGAUCACGCUGCCGCCAACCAGUGGUUCAGCAGGGAACGCUGCCGCCCGAUUGGAUCUUGGACGCCCUGCAAGAGCUCAAGCCGCCGCUCGGCUGCACGCAUCUGCCCUGCAGGUCUCCGGCUGGACCAGGCCACGACCCCCACUAG